Molecule: RNA transcript, 4133 nt
Organism: Triplophysa rosa
Lineage: Eukaryota; Metazoa; Chordata; Actinopteri; Cypriniformes; Nemacheilidae
Gene: git2a
Gene name: G protein-coupled receptor kinase interacting ArfGAP 2a
Exons: 19
Source: RefSeq, a predicted model, not a curated record
CACGAACCUAACAUCACUACCACCGUAUGCUUUACAGAUCGCGCCCUACAUGCGUUGAAUUUUAGUUACGACGGCGUCUGACUCAUUUGACAGUUUAUAAAUAUACUCAAAGCCUAAAUGGAUUUAUGAUUCAGAAUUGCAUUUUCACUGCAAUCUCCGGACCGGCUUAGAAAAACAUACACGAACACGAGGAAAAAAACCACGCGCAUUGCACUGUAGCGUUUCCCUGCUUCGUGUGAGGGAGCGCUAAAACCUGAUUGAUCGUCACUUUAAGCUCAAAUGUGCGGCCAAGGGAGGGCAGAUGGCACUCUUUUACGAUCUGAUGCGUUGCUGGCAAGCAUUUCCGUAGUGUGGUUUUACUGCAGCAUGACAGAGAUUGCCUGAUUCGUCUGUCCUAAUUUCAAGCCAGACACAUAUUAUUUCAUACAGCCAACGCAGACGCAUGCACGCGUUAAACUAUCUUCUGUAUUUCUUGAGGCAUGAGAUCCUCGUUCAGUGAUACAACACGUUCAAUUGGAUGCAGUCGUUAUAGUAAAGCUGUGCAUGUGUUAAAGUUAUCCGUGGACGAUUCGCGGUUUAUACUACAUGGUGAUAAGGACUUUACCCGAGACAAGGAUGUCGAAACGGCUUCGAAAUAGCGAAGUUUGUGCGGAUUGCAGCAGUUCGGAUCCUCACUGGGCGUCUGUAAACAGAGGAGUUCUCAUAUGCGACGAGUGCUGCGGCGUUCACCGCAGUCUGGGUCGCCACAAUUCGCAAGUGCGGCAUUUGUCACACACGCCUUGGCCGCCCACCCAGCUGCAGAUGGUUCAGAUAUUAUACAACAACGGUGCUAAUGCAAUAUGGGAGCACACACUGCUGGAUCCCUCAUCCUUAAUGAGCGGGAAACGCAAAACCAAUCCUCAGGAUAAAGUCCAUCCCAACAAGACAGAGUUCAUAAAAGCAAAGUAUCAAAUGUUGGCUUUCGUCCAUCGUUUACCCUGUCGUGACGACGACAGUCCAGCAGCUGCAGAUCUAAGCAAGCAACUUCACUCAAGUGUUAGAACUGGCAAUCUUGAGACUUCUUUACGGUUACUGUCGCUUGGAGCUCAAGCCAACUUUUUCCACCCGGAAAAAGGAAACACACCACUUCACAUAGCAGCUAAGGCAGGACAGGUGUGCCAGGCUGAGAUACUGUGUGUUUAUGGGGCGGAUCCUGGAGCUCCGGACUCUUACGGCAAAACACCCAUCAACUAUGCAAGGCAGGCCGGCCAUCAGGACCUAGCAGACCGGCUGGUGGAGAUACAGCAUGAGCUUACAGACAGACUCGCCUUCUACCUCUGUGGGCGAAAGCCUGAUCACAAGAAUGGACAGCACUUCAUUAUACCACAGAUGGCGGACAGAAGUGUGGAGUUAUCGGAGUUUGCAAAAGCUGCGAAAAGAAAACUGCAAUCUCUCAGCGAUCAUUUGUUUGAGGAACUGGCAAUGGACGUGUACGACGAGGUGGACAGAAGAGAGACAGAUGCAGUCUGGCUGGCCACUCAGAACCACAGCGCCUUGGUAACGGAGACAACAGUUGUGCCUUUCCUUCCUGUGAACCCCGAGUACUCAUCAACACGCAACCAGGGACGACAAAAGCUUGCAAGAUUUAAUGCUCAUGAAUUUGCCACACUUGUGAUUGAUAUUCUAAGUGAUGCAAAGCGGCGUCAACAGGGGAGUUCAGUGGCAAGCCCCAAAGACAACGUCGACAACGUUUUCUUCAAAAGUCGUCACGUUAGUAGCCGUCACGGAAGCGACAGCCAAGAAAUCGACCAGCCAGACUAUGACAGCGUGGCAUCAGAUGAGGACACGGACACCGAAUUGCGAAUCGGCAAAGCAGACCGAGCUAAGAGUUUGGACUCGGACCUGUCCGAUGGGCCGAUUUCCGUGCAGGAGUUUCUGGAAGUGAAGAACGCUCUCUCAGCCUCUGAGGUCAAAAUACAGGAACUGAUGAAGGCCAACAGUAACCUGAGCGAAGAGCUGAGACUGGUGCAAAAAAAGCUGCAGUCUCUGCAAAGUGAGAACAGCUCUCUCAGACGCCAGGUCUCAUCUCAACAGCCCUAUCAGGCCCCUGGGGGUCCUGACCACCCCAAUCCUUCCAGCCCCUCCUCCUGUUCCUCCUCUUCCUCCUCCUCUGCCCUGAAAUGGCACCUGUCUGCACGGGUGAGCCGCCCCAUGUCUAUGUAUGAAACCAGCUCUGGUCUGAAGCCCUUUCUCUCCAAGGGAGAGGCCAUUUACCCUGAGGAGACCUUCCCUUCCUUGCAACCCUUCCCAACCCAUGCCUCCAAGUUUGGCAAGCAAAGUAGCGCAUCCGACGGUGACUAUGACAACACUGUCAACGAAUCUGACCUGGAUGACUCGGGAUUUGUCCGUAGAUGUCGUCUACGCAGCAGCGGUUGGAUGGGAGAGAGCAACUCCAUACCAGAGCUGGACGAUCACGAAUGUGAGUCUGACCCCAGUCUGCCCAGCACAGAAGACGUCAUCCGGAAAACCGAGCAGAUCACCAAGAAUAUCCAGGACCUGCUGAGGGCUGCACAGGAGAAUAAGUACGACAGUGCCCCGGGUGAGCAGAGGGAGAGUGUCCGCAGACUCAGACACAGUCUGGGUUGUUUCGGCACGCUGGUGCCUUGGGCAGACAAGCCCCCCUCUCCCAUGCAGUCCCUCGGCCUAAGAGCUCCCCCCAACAGCCCUGCCUCCUGGUACUCUGGCCUCUGUCCCUGCCUCACAGGCACAGUGUCUACCUCUCUCUUCAUCACUCACGCACUAAUCUACACACGGGCACAACCGUGGACUCGGAGCACUAACAUGUAACAUGCAUGUAUGUGCGCUAGAAUGUUAAACGCUCGAGGUCUGAAGCAGUUUGCAUUAGGGUCAAUUUUAAAUCGAAAUGGACCCUGUUUGGUUUUAAAGCAUGUUUCUGGACUCAUGCAAAUGAUUCGUCUGUGCAUGUGUAGUAAUUCGCUAUUCCGCUGAAAUGACGUCCUACCAGUCAUUCUCUGCUGAUGCGAGGAUAUUGUUGAUGUCGGACUGCAACUUUGUAUCUCUAAAACUGCCACUUUACAGGAAGUGAAAUAUUUCAGUAAUUUUAUUUUUUCAAUGAUUAAAGAGAUAGUUCACACAAAAAUGAAAUUUCUGUCAUCAUUUACUCACCCUCAAGUUGUUCCAAACCUGUUUAAAGUUCUUUGUUUGAUUGAACACAAAGAAAGAUAUUUGGAUGAAUGUUAGCAACUGAGAUUUCUGGGGCACCAUUGACUACCAUGUAGAAAGAAUGAAUGUAUCAUUUAUCUGUUGAACACAGAUAUUUUGAAGAAUUUAGGAAAACAGUUCUGGGGCACCUGUGACAACCAUUUUAAUGGUAGUCAAUGGUGCCACAGAAAUCUAAGUUGCUAACAAUUUUCCAGCUAUCUUUGUUUAACAAAGAAAUUUACACAGGUUUGGAACAACUCGAGGUCGAGUAAUUUAUGACAGAAUUUUCAUUUUGGGGGGAACUAUCCCUUUAAGCAAUGUGUUGCCAAAGUUGACAAGCUCUGUUUAAUACUUUUUAUUGGUUAAAUAUUUGCAAAAUCUACAUGAAGAGUGACUAAUAGUAAUGAUUUAUAAAAAAAAAUCUCAUUUGAUGCACUGUAUUAUUUGGAUAUAAUAUCACAAAACCGAUGUAACGUCCUCUUACUGUAAAUAUAUUUUGGGGCUGUAUCAAGAUAACUAACAUUUGCACGUUAUUGUUUUUCUUGUGGAGUAUUGCACAGAAGUCAUAGCUAAACUUUAAAAACUAAAAAAAAAAAGAGAAAAUAAAUGAAUCCUUCAACAAAAUGCAUUUCAGAAAAAAGAUAACAUUGAGUCAAUACAAUAUUAUGGAAGUUGUUGUUUGCUGUGAUUGUGUAAAGUUCGGCUUUAAAGCUCUCUCACCGAUUUCUUUGUAGUUAGUACGUCUUUCUCUCGCCUAACUCUGACUUACGUUUCAGAAUUUUAACAUCCGUCUGUUUGUUUUCUGCAGCUUUAUACCCUGUGCAGAAAGAAUAUAUGUGGCCGUGAAUGAGAUGGCCGGCCUGUUUCCUAAGAGGCCACGGUUUGAGACAGUAAGGAGCUCACUGCGUUUAUUGACGUCAAGCGCGCACCGU